RNAcentral lists this ribosomal RNA (207 nucleotides) under uncultured bacterium. RNAcentral's name for it is "partial 16S ribosomal RNA". It matches the Rfam family "Bacterial small subunit ribosomal RNA", at positions 568 to 774 of the family's 1533-position model. The record is from RNAcentral.
CACGUAGGCGGAUUGCUAAGUCAGGGGUGAAAUCCUGGAGCUCAACUCCAGAACUGCCUUUGAUACUGGCGACCUUGAGUCCGGGAGAGGUGAGUGGAACUGCGAGUGUAGAGGUGAAAUUCGUAGAUAUUCGCAAGAACACCAGUGGCGAAGGCGGCUCACUGGCCCGGUACUGACGCUGAGGUGCGAAAGCGUGGGGAGCGAACA